This 264-nucleotide ribosomal RNA is filed under the name uncultured archaeon. Its description in RNAcentral is "partial 16S ribosomal RNA". It matches the Rfam family "Archaeal small subunit ribosomal RNA", at positions 719 to 982 of the family's 1478-position model. The record is from RNAcentral.
AGUCACUGACAUUAGAUACCCGGGUAGUCCUAGCCGUAAACGAUACUCGCUAGGUGUCGGCCACGGUGCGACCGUUGUGGUGCCGUAGGGAAGCCGUGAAGCGAGCCACCUGGGAAGUACGGCCGCAAGGCUGAAACUUAAAGGAAUUGGCGGGGGAGCACAACAACGGGUGGAGCUUGCGGUUUAAUUGGAUUCAACGCCGGAAAUCUUACCGGGACCGACAGCAACAUGAAGGCCAAGCUGAAGACUUUGCCGGAUUAGCUG